UGAGCAAGGAGACUCAUGCCAGUGCCCCCGUC
RNAcentral lists this non-coding RNA (32 nucleotides) under Homo sapiens (human). Lineage: Eukaryota; Metazoa; Chordata; Mammalia; Primates; Hominidae. The record is from RNAcentral.